GCGUACAAGGAGUCAAGCAUG
This 21-nucleotide non-coding RNA is filed under the name Arabidopsis thaliana (thale cress). The record is from RNAcentral. Lineage: Eukaryota; Viridiplantae; Streptophyta; Magnoliopsida; Brassicales; Brassicaceae.